Molecule: ribosomal RNA, 1537 nt
Filed under: Escherichia coli
Lineage: Bacteria; Pseudomonadati; Pseudomonadota; Gammaproteobacteria; Enterobacterales; Enterobacteriaceae
Description: bacterial SSU rRNA
Rfam family: Bacterial small subunit ribosomal RNA
Source: RNAcentral
UUGAAGAGUUUGAUCAUGGCUCAGAUUGAACGCUGGCGGCAGGCCUAACACAUGCAAGUCGAACGGUAACAGAAAGCAGCUUGCUGCUUUGCUGACGAGUGGCGGACGGGUGAGUAAUGUCUGGGAAACUGCCUGAUGGAGGGGGAUAACUACUGGAAACGGUAGCUAAUACCGCAUAACGUCGCAAGACCAAAGAGGGGGACCUUCGGGCCUCUUGCCAUCGGAUGUGCCCAGAUGGGAUUAGCUUGUUGGUGGGGUAACGGCUCACCAAGGCGACGAUCCCUAGCUGGUCUGAGAGGAUGACCAGCCACACUGGAACUGAGACACGGUCCAGACUCCUACGGGAGGCAGCAGUGGGGAAUAUUGCACAAUGGGCGCAAGCCUGAUGCAGCCAUGCCGCGUGUAUGAAGAAGGCCUUCGGGUUGUAAAGUACUUUCAGCGGGGAGGAAGGGAGUAAAGUUAAUACCUUUGCUCAUUGACGUUACCCGCAGAAGAAGCACCGGCUAACUCCGUGCCAGCAGCCGCGGUAAUACGGAGGGUGCAAGCGUUAAUCGGAAUUACUGGGCGUAAAGCGCACGCAGGCGGUUUGUUAAGUCAGAUGUGAAAUCCCCGGGCUCAACCUGGGAACUGCAUCUGAUACUGGCAAGCUUGAGUCUCGUAGAGGGGGGUAGAAUUCCAGGUGUAGCGGUGAAAUGCGUAGAGAUCUGGAGGAAUACCGGUGGCGAAGGCGGCCCCUGGACGAAGACUGACGCUCAGGUGCGAAAGCGUGGGGAGCAAACAGGAUUAGAUACCCUGGUAGUCCACGCCGUAAACGAUGUCGACUUGGAGGUUGUGCCCUUGAGGCGUGGCUUCCGGAGCUAACGCGUUAAGUCGACCGCCUGGGGAGUACGGCCGCAAGGUUAAAACUCAAAUGAAUUGACGGGGGCCCGCACAAGCGGUGGAGCAUGUGGUUUAAUUCGAUGCAACGCGAAGAACCUUACCUGGUCUUGACAUCCACAGAACUUUCCAGAGAUGGAUUGGUGCCUUCGGGAACUGUGAGACAGGUGCUGCAUGGCUGUCGUCAGCUCGUGUUGUGAAAUGUUGGGUUAAGUCCCGCAACGAGCGCAACCCUUAUCCUUUGUUGCCAGCGGUCCGGCCGGGAACUCAAAGGAGACUGCCAGUGAUAAACUGGAGGAAGGUGGGGAUGACGUCAAGUCAUCAUGGCCCUUACGACCAGGGCUACACACGUGCUACAAUGGCGCAUACAAAGAGAAGCGACCUCGCGAGAGCAAGCGGACCUCAUAAAGUGCGUCGUAGUCCGGAUUGGAGUCUGCAACUCGACUCCAUGAAGUCGGAAUCGCUAGUAAUCGUGGAUCAGAAUGCCACGGUGAAUACGUUCCCGGGCCUUGUACACACCGCCCGUCACACCAUGGGAGUGGGUUGCAAAAGAAGUAGGUAGCUUAACCUUCGGGAGGGCGCUUACCACUUUGUGAUUCAUGACUGGGGUGAAGUCGUAACAAGGUAACCGUAGGGGAACCUGCGGUUGGAUCACCUCCUU